Molecule: ribosomal RNA, 1358 nt
Filed under: uncultured bacterium
Lineage: Bacteria
Description: bacterial SSU rRNA
Rfam family: Bacterial small subunit ribosomal RNA
Source: RNAcentral
GAUGAACGCUAGCUACAGGCUUAACACAUGCAAGUCGAGGGGCAGCAUGGUCUUAGCUUGCUAAGGCCGAUGGCGACCGGCGCACGGGUGAGUAAUACGUAUCCAACCUGCCGUCUACUCUUGGACAGCCUUCUGAAAGGAAGAUUAAUACAAGAUGGCAUCAUGAGUCCGCAUGUUCACAUGAUUAAAGGUAUUCCGGUAGACGAUGGGGAUGCGUUCCAUUAGAUAGUAGGCGGGGUAACGGCCCACCUAGUCUUCGAUGGAUAGGGGUUCUGAGAGGAAGGUCCCCCACAUUGGAACUGAGACACGGUCCAAACUCCUACGGGAGGCAGCAGUGAGGAAUAUUGGUCAAUGGGCGAGAGCCUGAACCAGCCAAGUAGCGUGAAGGAUGACUGCCCUAUGGGUUGUAAACUUCUUUUAUAAAGGAAUAAAGUCGGGUAUGGAUACCCGUUUGCAUGUACUUUAUGAAUAAGGAUCGGCUAACUCCGUGCCAGCAGCCGCGGUAAUACGGAGGAUCCGAGCGUUAUCCGGAUUUAUUGGGUUUAAAGGGAGCGUAGAUGGAUGUUUAAGUCAGUUGUGAAAGUUUGCGGCUCAACCGUAAAAUUGCAGUUGAUACUGGAUAUCUUGAGUGCAGUUGAGGCAGGCGGAAUUCGUGGUGUAGCGGUGAAAUGCUUAGAUAUCACGAAGAACUCCGAUUGCGAAGGCAGCCUGCUAAGCUGCAACUGACAUUGAGGCUCGAAAGUGUGGGUAUCAAACAGGAUUAGAUACCCUGGUAGUCCACACGGUAAACGAUGAAUACUCGCUGUUUGCGAUAUACGGCAAGCGGCCAAGCGAAAGCGUUAAGUAUUCCACCUGGGGAGUACGCCGGCAACGGUGAAACUCAAAGGAAUUGACGGGGGCCCGCACAAGCGGAGGAACAUGUGGUUUAAUUCGAUGAUACGCGAGGAACCUUACCCGGGCUUAAAUUGCAGAUGAAUUACGGUGAAAGCCGUAAGCCGCAAGGCAUCUGUGAAGGUGCUGCAUGGUUGUCGUCAGCUCGUGCCGUGAGGUGUCGGCUUAAGUGCCAUAACGAGCGCAACCCUUGUUGUCAGUUACUAACAGGUUCCGCUGAGGACUCUGACAAGACUGCCAUCGUAAGAUGUGAGGAAGGUGGGGAUGACGUCAAAUCAGUACGGCCCUUACGUCCGGGGCUACACACGUGUUACAAUGGGGGGUACAGAGGGCCGCUACCACGCGAGUGGAUGCCAAUCCCCAAAACCUCUCUCAGUUCGGACUGGAGUCUGCAACCCGACUCCACGAAGCUGGAUUCGCUAGUAAUCGCGCAUCAGCCACGGCGCGGUGAAUACGUUCCCGGGCCU